UUGCAGUUUUUAAGUGUUUUUAAGCUGUUUUGGAGUGUUUUAGUAUGUUUUGACAUAAAAAUCCAAAAAUCUCAUAAAAAUUUGAAAAAUUGUUUUGAAAAACCCAAAAAUAGUUGUUUUUAUGUGUUUGUUUGUGUCUUAGGGUACUUUCCAACACAAUGAUGAGGAUUUGGUUUUUAAUGACAUGACUGUUAAAGAGAGUUAUAAACAUGGAUGAAAAUUUGAUUUACUCUUUGGUGUAUGCUUGGUUGUGGUUAUAAUUUAUGAAUUCACAUGCAAUCAUAAAGAAAAAAAAUCAGUUUUUGUAACAUGCUUGAAGGAAGGAACUCAAAUGAACGCUACAACCUUGUGAGACUUGAGCCUAAACGUUUAUUUGGAGAGUUAAUAAUCUGUGCAGCAUUGUUUUCUAAAAUCGUUGCAUGAUCUCAUUAUUCUUUGCUUGGUUGCUACUUAGAAGGCGUUUCAUCAUUUAGUUCCAAAUGCU
RNAcentral lists this long non-coding RNA (484 nucleotides) under Malus domestica (apple). RNAcentral's name for it is "long non-coding RNA (MDOM_LNC010267)". The record is from RNAcentral. Lineage: Eukaryota; Viridiplantae; Streptophyta; Magnoliopsida; Rosales; Rosaceae.